Molecule: ribosomal RNA, 463 nt
Filed under: uncultured bacterium
Lineage: Bacteria
Description: partial 16S ribosomal RNA
Rfam family: Bacterial small subunit ribosomal RNA
Source: RNAcentral
GACGAACGCUGGCGGCGUGCUUAACACAUGCAGGUCGAACGGAAAGGCCUUUUCGGAGGUACUCGAGUGGCGAACGGGUGAGUAACACGUGGGUGAUCUGCCCUGCACUCUGGGAUAAGCCUGGGAAACUGGGUCUAAUACCGGAUAGGACCGCACUUUAGUGUGUGUGGUGGAAAGUUUUUUCGGUGUAGGAUGAGCCCGCGGCCUAUCAGCUUGUUGGUGGGGUAAUGGCCUACCAAGGCGGCGACGGGUAGCCGGACUGAGAGGUUGGUCGGCCACAUUGGGACUGAGAUACGGCCCAGACUCCUACGGGAGGCAGCAGUGGGGAAUAUUGCACAAUGGGCGCAAGCCUGAUGCAGCGACGCCGCGUGGGGGAUGACGGCCUUCGGGUUGUAAACUCCUUUCGCCAGGGACGAAGCGUUUUGUGACGGUACCUGGAGAAGAAGCACCGGCUAACUACGUG